GCGCGGGCGCGGGCGCGGGCGGGGGCGGGGCGGCCGCCGGCCGUGGGUCCCGCCUCGUCGUGGGCGGCCGCGGCCCCGCGCGCCGGCGCUGCCCCCCGUGGCGCGCUCGCCCGCAGGAGGCGGCGCGGGCCGGAGCCGAGCCGGGGCUGCAGCGCGGUGAGUGGCCUGGGCAGCCCCCAGGGGAGGGCGCGGGCCGCGGCGCCCCCCGCCCGCGGCGCUUUGUUCCGGGGCGUGGGGCGUGGUCGCCCCCGUGGCCGCGCUGGGGGGGGGCGGGGGGCGCCCCGGGACCUGCGCUGCGUGGCCUUCGGCCCCGCGCCGACUCCAGCGUAACGGUGCGCCCCGGAGCAGCAUGGCCAGCAGCGCGGUGCCCGGCGAC
This 376-nucleotide long non-coding RNA is filed under the name Dasypus novemcinctus (nine-banded armadillo). RNAcentral describes it as "lncRNA (ENSDNOG00000051345.1)". The record is from RNAcentral. Lineage: Eukaryota; Metazoa; Chordata; Mammalia; Cingulata; Dasypodidae.